GCUUGUGGUGACACGUGCUCGCCCAUGGACGGGAAGAGAGUUUACGUGUUUCAGAUAAAACGUUUCCAGCUGCAGGUCUACGCAAGUUCGGAUGUUCCCCUUGCAGGCUCCCGUUGGUAAGGGCCGUUUCCGUACGUUGAGACGGUGAACAAGGUAACGACUAUCCCACGCUUGGAUAUUGGAAUCACCCAAGGACUUCGUCAAGACGCUGAGAAUUAUCUUGAGACCGUUGCAAACUUGAAAGUUUUUGCCGGCCGGUGCUGCGUGCGUUCUCCGGAUCGGGAACCCGGAUUGAGGACCUCCAGAUGCGCAAGAGAAAUCGCGGAGCUUACCUAGGUCAAGGUUUUCAAUUCACAACAGCUAGAUCUACUGCACUUGCUAAAGAUGUCACUGGCGGAACACACGGCAUUGAAGAGCCGGGCGCCGCCAGACGUGGGGCCGCUAGCCAAGAUGUACGGCACGACGAAGCUCCCUAAAUCACCCACCAUACAUCACGCCCCCUUCUUACAUACCUCAUCGCACCGGUCAUCCGCUUCAAGUUGCACGCGCACGGGCCCGGACCACCACAUUUCAAGCAUCAUUUUUUAUUCGAGCAUCAAGGGACUGGAACGGCCUUCCACAUGCCAUCGCAGCCAUUACAAGCCCAUCUGCCUUUACUGAAGCUGUUGUCACCCAUAUCUCAAAAUGAACGCCCGUUUCUAAUGUUCAUUUUAAUAACCACCCCUUAUGUAAUACCCCUCUAAUGGGUUUUUUAAGGCAAUAAAGUGAA
This is a non-coding RNA of Dermacentor albipictus, 769 nucleotides long. The record is from RefSeq and is a predicted model, not a curated record. NCBI's taxonomy places the organism in Eukaryota, Metazoa, Arthropoda, Arachnida, Ixodida, Ixodidae.